This 406-nucleotide ribosomal RNA is filed under the name uncultured bacterium. RNAcentral describes it as "partial 16S ribosomal RNA". It matches the Rfam family "Bacterial small subunit ribosomal RNA", at positions 30 to 526 of the family's 1533-position model. The record is from RNAcentral.
AUUGAACGCUGGCGGCAGGCCUAACACAUGCAAGUCGAGCGAGCGGCGGACGGGUGAGUAAUGUCUGGGGAUCUGCCCGAUAGAGGGGGAUAACUACUGGAAACGGUGGCUAAUACCGCAUACUAUCGGAUGAACCACUAUGGGAUUAGCUAGUGGGUGGGGUAAAGGCUCACCUAGGCGACGAUCUCUAGCUGGUCUGAGAGGAUGAUCAGCCACACUGGAACUGAGACACGGCCCAGACUCCUACGGGAGGCAGCAGUGGGGAAUAUUGCACAAUGGGCGAAAGCCUGAUGCAGCCAUGCCGCGUGUAUGAAGAAGGCCUUCGGGUUGUAAAGUACUUUCAGCGGGGAGGCGUUACCCGCAGAAGAAGCACCGGCUAACUCCGUGCCAGCAGCCGCGGUAAUUC